AUUGAACGCUGGCGGCAUGCCUUACACAUGCAAGUCGAACGGCAGCGGACCUUCGGGUGCCGGCGAGUGGCGAACGGGUGAGUAAUGCAUCGGAACGUGCCAUUGAGUGGGGGAUAACGUAGCGAAAGUUGCGCUAAUACCGCAUAUUCUGUGAGCAGGAAAGCAGGGGACCGCAAGGCCUUGCGCUCUUUGAGCGGCCGAUGUCAGAUUAGCUAGUUGGUGAGGUAACGGCUUACCAGGGCGACGAUCUGUAGCGGGUCUGAGAGGAUGAUCCGCCACACUGGAACUGAGACACGGUCCAGACUCCUACGGGAGGCAGCAGUGGGGAAUUUUGGACAAUGGGGGCAACCCUGAUCCAGCCAUGCCGCGUGAGUGAAGAAGGCCUCGGUUGUAAG
Molecule: ribosomal RNA, 395 nt
Filed under: uncultured bacterium
Lineage: Bacteria
Description: bacterial SSU rRNA
Rfam family: Bacterial small subunit ribosomal RNA
Source: RNAcentral